This 641-nucleotide ribosomal RNA is filed under the name Staphylococcus aureus. Its description in RNAcentral is "partial 23S ribosomal RNA". It matches the Rfam family "Bacterial large subunit ribosomal RNA", at positions 2282 to 2925 of the family's 2925-position model. Lineage: Bacteria; Bacillati; Bacillota; Bacilli; Caryophanales; Staphylococcaceae. The record is from RNAcentral.
GUCGCCUCCUAAAAGGUAACGGAGGCGCUCAAAGGUUCCCUCAGAAUGGUUGGAAAUCAUUCAUAGAGUGUAAAGGCAUAAGGGAGCUUGACUGCGAGACCUACAAGUCGAGCAGGGUCGAAAGACGGACUUAGUGAUCCGGUGGUUCCGCAUGGAAGGGCCAUCGCUCAACGGAUAAAAGCUACCCCGGGGAUAACAGGCUUAUCUCCCCCAAGAGUUCACAUCGACGGGGAGGUUUGGCACCUCGAUGUCGGCUCAUCGCAUCCUGGGGCUGUAGUCGGUCCCAAGGGUUGGGCUGUUCGCCCAUUAAAGCGGUACGCGAGCUGGGUUCAGAACGUCGUGAGACAGUUCGGUCCCUAUCCGUCGUGGGCGUAGGAAAUUUGAGAGGAGCUGUCCUUAGUACGAGAGGACCGGGAUGGACAUACCUCUGGUGUACCAGUUGUCGUGCCAACGGCAUAGCUGGGUAGCUAUGUGUGGACGGGAUAAGUGCUGAAAGCAUCUAAGCAUGAAGCCCCCCUCAAGAUGAGAUUUCCCAACUUCUGUUAUAAGAUCCCUCAAAGAUGAUGAGGUUAAUAGGUUCGAGGUGGAAGCAUGGUGACAUGUGGAGCUGACGAAUACUAAUCGAUCGAAGACUUAAUCAA